Molecule: long non-coding RNA, 8377 nt
Organism: Homo sapiens (human)
Lineage: Eukaryota; Metazoa; Chordata; Mammalia; Primates; Hominidae
Exons: 2
Source: RefSeq, a predicted model, not a curated record
UCGGCCUCCCAAAGUGCUGGAAUUACAGCCAUGAGCCACCAUGCCCAGCCAAAGAUGAAAACUUUUAAAAAAGGAUUGUAGAACCUUUGACCAAUAUGGGACCUACUUGAUAAAUAUUUAAUAUUGGUGUGAAAAAUGUAAGUCAUAGACUAUGUUGGCAGGCCUGAACAUGGGAAGAUAGAAAAUUGACCGCCAUCUACAUACGACAUAAUUUUCUGCUUCAGCCUGAGAUCCCAAGAACCACUCCCCUUCCUAUGCCAUGUAGUAAAACUCACAUCACCUCUUUUAGUUCAUUUAAAAGGCCUUCCUGUCUGCAUAAAGAUGAUUUAGUGUGUAGCAAAUCCUGAGAUUGUUUUAAAGCACUGUUUAAAGUUCAAACUCAACAGCUGGAUUUUUUUUCCCUCUGCUUUGAAGAGAGUCACUAUAGUUGGAACAACUUAUUCACGCUAGCUCUUUGAAACACCUGUGUUCCAGGUGAAGCCAAAAAAAAAAAAAAAAAAACUAAAGCUUGAAUCUAGUCUUUUCACCUCUCCAUUAAAAAAUAAAUAUAUCUCUAAAACUUCCCAGCUGGUGGGAAUGAAAUGCUGUCAGUGCUCCCAACUGUUAGAGGGUAAUAUUGAAUAAUAACAAAGCCACACUUAAUUUGAGCUUCUGAAAAGCCUCAUAACCUCAUUAUCAUUCUCCUGAACUGCUUAACCUUCUGGUUAACCUUCUGAUUAUUAACCUCUUGACAUACUUAAUUCAGGUGUGAGAGUUUAGCGAAGCUCAUGGGACUGUAUUUAUUUGAUCUUUUUUGUCAUGUCCCACUGUGUUGACUUUAUUUUUUAAGAUUGCUAGACACCAGGAGGCAUGUGUUAGGUGGAGACCUAGAGGUUUCAGAAGCCACUAAAUAUAUCAGACUUGCCAUAAUUGGAGGAUAUGGUGAAUCAGUGGGGCUUUUAGGCACUUCAUAGACCAGCUGAGUCUCCUGCUAUCAACCCAAUUUAUUUGAGAGCAGUACCUCAGGAAACUUAAUAGACCUGUAGCACACUAGCACAAAUCUGGAUUUUAGCCAGAGUACAGUUUAUUUAUGUGCUGCUUGUAUUAUUUUGCUCUCUGCAUAUUCUAUGCCUGUCAUUAUUAAGUAUUAAUCAAAAAUAUUGAAUUGUAUCUUUGGCAGUGGGUUUAAAAAUUACACGUUUAAUUGAUAGUUUACAUCACUUAGAGGUGGCAAGAGAACCAGAUGGUAGAAAAUAGGAUCAGGUUGAAGUGGCAUUUUUUUUACCAAAGAAAAUAUGAUUUGCAUGAGUAAGCAAAGUUUUGGGGUUUUUAAUGUGUGCUUUUGUUUUGGGGGGAUAUGGGGACUAUUAAUCAGUUAUAGAAUAUUAAUCCUUUUCUGUAAUUAGGGUUAAAUAUGAAGAAUACUAAUCUGAUAGGUAAUAUUUAUCACUCUGAGCUCAAGACUAAGAAACGCUUCAGGUUAUUAACCCUUUACCAAAACCAGGAGUUACCUUCUGUAGAGGUUCUCAGAGGUCUCACAGAAACUAGUACUUUUAAUUGUUCCCUCAAGUUCCCAUCUGUCAAAAAUAUGUCCUGUAGAAAACCUUUCUUGGUGUAAGUCAAGGGCUUUUUGUCCUUUGAGUGAAUGAGUAAACUCUAAAGGAAUGUGACUGUCACGGACAUGUUUCUUUGAUGCCAAAAACCCUGCAUGAGACCACAUUAAUAAAAAGUGAAUAAAGUUUUUCUCCUUCUUCAUUGAUGAUAUCCUUUUGAGAUGGCCUAGUCUUUCCUUUUGAGAUCACAGUGGCUUAAAGGAGCAUUUUUUUUUUUUAAAGACAGUCUCACUCUGUCACCCAGGCUGGAGUGCAGUGGCAUGAUCUCAGCUCACUGCAGCCUCCACCUCCAGGGUUCAAGGGAUUCUCCUGCCUCAGCCUCCUGAGUAACUGGGAUUACAGGUGCCCGCAACCACACCUGGCUAAUUUUUAUAUUUUUUAGUAGAGACAGUGUUUCACUGUGUUGGCCAGGCUGGUCUUGACUCCCGAUCUCAGGUGAUCCACCCACCUCAGCCUCCCAAAGUGCUGGGAUUACAGGCAUGAGCCACCGCACCCAGCCAAAAGGAGCUUUUUUGAGUGGUUGCCAGUUUCUUUGUUCCUUAUAUUCUUUUGCUUUUUUCCCUGGGGAGAAUGUUGGAAAGAAAUAGGGGCACAUUCAUACAUUUUGAAAAAGGCCAUGGACUUUGAUAUCAGGCAGCUCUGAGUUCAAAUCCUGAUUUUUUUUCCUCCACUUACUAGCUUUUUGACCUUCAAAAAGUUACUUGAUACUCUUCCCUAAGCCUCAGUUUCCUCAAUGAUAAUGGAGAUGAUAUUCUUACUCACAGUUAUUUUAAAGGAAUAAAUGAAUUAAUGUACGUUGAACAUUUGGCAUACCACCUAGCAUGUAUUGAUGUUUUAAAAAAAACUCAUUUCCCCUCCUCCCUCAUAUAACGAUGUUGAUGAUGAUGAUGAUGAUGAUGACGAUGAUGAUGAUGAUGAUAGCAGCUACCACCUAAAUCGUUUUCUGUGUGCCAGGCAUUUAUAUGUGAUUCUAAAUCCUAGCAGUAACUCUGUGUAGUAGGUGUUCCUGUACCUGUUUUAUAAAUGCAGGAACAGACUCAGAGAAGUUAUUUAACUUGCCUAAUGUUAUCAAGCUACUAAGUGGCAGAGUCAAGAUUCUAACCUUGGUCAUUUUGAUUCCAAAGCCUACAACAAACACACCGCCUCCCACUGCUGAACCUGUUAACUCCUUAUUUUAAAAAUCAAUUUCCAGGCCUUCUCCCUCCUGAAGUAGAAUUGUUUUGUUCUUACCUCUUUUUUUAGUUUUCUAUUUUUGAAGUUUACUUUAUCUUUUGAAGGACAGAGUACAAGAACGAGGGCUGUGAUCUAGUGCCACGUCCGCUGCACACUAAGACCUUUGACUAAUUUCUUUACCUCUCUAAACCUCUUUGCUCUGUAUAAUGGGAACCCAUAAUGGGACUUACUUCUUACAGUAAUUAGGAGUAGGUGAGGCAAAAUAAAUUUAAAGCUGGAUGCCUAACACAUAGAAAAUUGCAGUAAAUUUCAGCUGUUUUCAGUCAGGCUUCUUUGUUCAUUUACAUUAAAAUCUUUUUGCACCUUCUUGCCCUCUCUCCUUGAUUUUUACAUGUCAAUGUCAGUCUUUUUCCAACCUCUUGGCUGUUGCCUUGCAUUCAUCCAUCUUUUUUCUCAGUCUUGUCAUUGAGUUAACAUGUUCUCUACACCCACUUAGUACCCAGUCAGUGUUUAUUGAUGCUAAUGAUGAUGGUUAAACAAAGAUGCUGUUGGCACCAGUCCUGAAGGCUCUGAGACUCCCUGAGUAAUCAUGACUUCCUAAAAACAGAAAAGUACUCAAUCAUCUUAUUUAUAAUUGAAGGUCAGAAUUUGAUGUCAGCAUUUGUUUCUGUGGUGACUGUGUAGCUUUUUCUGAGGAAUUACCUUUGACAGUUGGGGUAGUCAGUAUUUCUGGUGUGAGGCUGAUUAUUAUGCAUUCUUAAAUUACUUCCUAAAAUAGAUGCAGCAUCGUAUAGGUGGGUUAAACAAAUAUUGAUCAUGGUACAGAUCUGCUUUAAUUGGAGCAAGAGGUCAGGAGAGGCUUAUCAUUGAGGUGUAGAUGGCUGCCAGGCUCUAGAUUAGUUACCUGGUCUUCUUGCCCAUAAUCUUUUUUGCGUCAGAGAAAAUUGUACAGGCCUAUUUUUAAUUCUAAGCAACCCUCUCUGUUCUCUCCCUUUUUGAUAUCUCUAAUAUGUUCCCACCUAAUGUCCUUGAUCUUCAGAAGAUGUCUCAUUUCUUGCUUUUUCUUGCCUCAAAUUCUGUCCUCCAUGAUAACGUUUUCUUCCUCAGCAAAUUUUGUGGGAAUCUAGCAGGAUGUGCUGCUUGUUAUAUUUGGGCACUGUCCACUAACAAUUCAGCUGCUGACACUGGUUGCAUUAUUCUAAAGAAUGUCAUGUUGUUAAGGUUGAAUUUAAAACCCAUUAAUGGUGAGAAGCUUCCAUAAUUUUAAUAUCCAGGUUUUUUAAUAAAAGAAGGAAAGAAAUGGAAAAAUAAAUUUUAAAGAUAAACUUUUAUGCAAAUGAAAAGCAGAUUGUAACCAAAUGCAAAUAAAUACCUCAGUGUGGCAUAUUUCAUUUAGUAGAAAGUAGAAAUUGUUAAUUUUUACUGUAUCUAAUGAUUCCCAAACUUAUAUUUUUAACUUUGAUCUCCCAUCAAAGGCCUGUCCUGUAUUUCCAGCAAUCUCUCAUUUAGACUUUAAAAAGAAAUCUGUAAAGGGCUACUAGUCCAAGCCCUGUACCCUGCCCCCACCCCCCCACAAAAAGUAGCCAGGAGUUCCUUUUUUUAUAUACACAUGCACAUAAACAUUUAUACACAUUUAUACAUACGUAUGCACUAACUUUUUAGUUCUCAUGCACUUAAAAAAUAUGAGGGGAUAUGAAUCUAUUUAAGCAUAUAUGAUUCAUAAGUGCAGGGAAAAUGUUUCUUGUAUCGUCAAGAUUAUUUUUAUAAUUUGACUAAAGAAGGGUAAGAGGUAAAAUACUUGAAGGAAGUGAAUACUCAGGAGGUUAGAAAGAGACACUGAGACAAAGAGAAUGAGGUAGCAAAAUUUGCCUCUUGAUUUUUUUAACCUUUUUAUUUUUCAGUCAUUGGCCAAAAGGGUAUCAUUAUUUGUCAGACAUUUCUUCACUAGCAGUUUAGACUUGUUACGUGGAAAUAGCCACAAGUUGUUAUGAGGAUUAAAUGAGGUGACCUAUGUUAAAAGUGGCACAUGGUAAGCUCAAAAAUACUUUUCAGCAAACAGAUAAAUCCUCUGCAAAUGUGGGAUUAUUUCUUAUUUUGGUUGUGUUCUGCCAGUAACAGAACUAAGACUAAAAUUCAGGUGCUGGAAGAAAUGAAUAAAAGUACUUGGGUGGAUUGAGCAGUUACUUCAGGUGUCUUUGGAUUCAAUUUCUUCUGAAAGGAAAGACUAAACCUCAAAAAGAGAAAAAUUAGUUAUUUAGCAUAACCUGCUACUUGUGUUGUGGGGAUUCAUGAAAUAGUUCAUAUGAAGUACUUAAAGAAGUGUCUGGCACAUAGUGAGCACUCAAUAAAUGUCCAUUUUAUUUUUAUUACUUUUCAUGUUGUUGUUAAAAAACGUUUUUUUGAGACAGGGUCUUGCUCUGUCGCCAACGCUGGAGUGCAGUGGCAAUCAGAGCUCACUGCAGCCUCGAACUCCUGGGCUUAAACUUAAAAUCCUUUCACUUUAGGCACAAGUAGCUGGGAAUACAGGUGCGCACCACCACACCCAGCUAAUUUUUAAAUUUUUUUGUAGAGACGGGAUCUCUUUAUGUUGCCCAGGCUGGUCUUGAACUUCUGGCCGUAAGCAAUCUUCCUGCCUCGGCCUCCCAAAGUGCCGGGUUUAUAGGUGUGAGCCACUGUAUCUGGCUUAAAGAAAUUUGUUAAGGAUGAACCAUUUUAGGAAACCAAAUAUGAGUGUAUGUGUUUUUCAUACAGUAUAGAUAAAUUGCCAAUUAGUUUGCACAUCUAAUUCAGAAAUUUGUAGGUGCUGAAGAAAGCUUUUUUGUUGAUGGUUUCUCACUUGUUGAAAUCUCUUUAGUUAUUGGAAAUUAGUAAUUCUAAUUUAGAGAUUUAUCUCUUUAGAAGAAUAUAUCUUUGUUGUGCAACUUUGUUGCUCUUAUUCCUGGUGGCUCUAUGAUGGCAAGUCUGGCUUAUUCAAUUGAAAAUCAGAACCUAAGGAGCUUUAUGAGAUGAAUAGCCAUAACAGUGUUGUAAUCUUUGAGUGAAUUGCAGUUGCUUGUUUAAUUGUCUGUCUCCCUUGUUAGGCUGUUGAGUUUCUCAGUGAAAGCAGUGGGCUGUCUUGUACACCACUGCAUUUCUAGUACCUAGAUUGGCAUCUUGUACAUGCUGCUAUUCAAAAUUUGUUGAAGAUUGAAGACAGUGACUUCUCAUUUGGAAAAAACAUGGCAAGGGAAGGAAUACUACAUUAUGUAAUACAAUACUGAUUUUCUGAUUUUGCUUGAAGCCUGGUUUUUGCAGCAUUCGAGUAAUGGCAGUCUCAUGUAUUUCAUUUUCUCUUUUAAUAGUAAACAAAUUGAGGUAAUAGAACUUCAUGGAAAGGGUCAGACUUCAGAAUCAUUACAAUCUAGAUUUAAAUGCAAACUCUGUGUGGAGCAGCGUAACCUCUCCCAGCCUCAGUGUGCUUAUUUCUUAAAUAGAAAUACAGCAGCUAUAAAGUAGGUGUUAUGAGGAUUAAAUGAGAUCAUAUAUGAAGUGGCACAUAGUAGCUUCAAGUAAACAUUAAUAUCCUUUCUCCUUUUCUUCUCCUCAUAGCCCAUAAUUAAGAAUAAUUCAACUAUUUUUUGUUUCAUAGAAACCUGCUUAUGGUGGUGAUAUUUGGUUAAGAAAUUGGAUUAGCAGACCUAUAAAGGCAAGUUUCCACGGGAAACAGCUUGGUGGGAGUGGAGAGAGCACUAGACUAGGAGUCAGGAAACCUGAGCUAGUCUUGGCUUUUUACUGACUGGGAAUGUGACCUUAGGUAAAGAAUAUAACUUCUCUAGCCCAAGUUUGUGUUUAAGUGAUGUUCUCCAGUGACUAACAUGAGAAAGCAGUAAAAAAGCUUGUAAUAUUGUUUUUAAAAAUUAACUCUUUAAAACAAUACAGAGACAUUGUUACUUCUCUUGGGCACCUGAGACAUCAGAGCUACCUCCUUCCCCCGCCCCCACUAAAACACUUGCAUCAUUCAGGUUUUUUUGAAGCAAAUCAGUACAUUUGAAAUCCAUAUUUCAUGGAGCUACUUAACUAAUUGCUGCAAUCAGCAGCAAUUUGUUUUAUAGUAGGGCUGUUCAAAUCACUUUGAGGUUGGCAUACCAUGCACAGUGUGUUUUUAACAAUCAUAUUUUUAAUGGCACGUUUAAAUAGGAGAGAUGGUUAAUCUGCUCAUAUUCUUCUGAAAACCUUAACUUUGGUCCUAUAGUUUAUCUUCAUCCAAUGGUAACUUAAAGGGCCAUAGCAAAUUCAUUGACCCAGUGGGUACACCAGCUGUUGGAGUGGCUGUCCCAUUUAGAAAGACCAGGAGAGGGAAGGAGCACCCUGUUUUCACUCUUGUUUGGAGACCCUCAUUAAAUUUCUCAGAAACAAUAAUCAGAUAGAUGCUGUUCAAGUUAAUGGCACCUCUGAGUCCCUGUCAAGAGAGCUUUAUUUAAUGUGCAACAGACCUGGAGUGAUGCAGGUGUCUUUUCAGGCCCUCAUUUAAUUUAAGCUGCUUUAGUUGGCAUGGCAACUAGUUGAGACAUCUGGGAGACAUUAUGCUGGGGAUUGAGACUUCAGAGGAUUUCUGCUAGAGCAAAGCAAAAACCGUAUCAUAAGGUGGUGUGUAUUGCUUCUGAAUUUUUGAAGCUGUAUUGUUAGAGCUUCAAAUUCAGGAAUUAUUUUCCAAAGAAAAUUUUAAAAUGUUGGCCUGGUUGUCUCAUUGUUUUCUAUAAAGAAAAAAACUGCAUUAUUCAUGGAGUGAAAAAUGUUUUUCCCCUAAGAAUUUACUUUGCUAAACUAAAGGUUGACAAAACGUAUUCUCUGCAAAGUGGCUGUUUUAAUCACUUUAUAAAAAUCCUAUAUUUAAAAUUUUCCAGUCUUUUAUGUUUAAAAGAUACUAAAGAAAGGGAAAGCAUUUCUGCACAAGGGUAAAUGGAAAAUGGUAGAGGUAGAUAGGAGCUCUGUGUGUUUUGCCCUGAACUUUCCAGUUAAUUAAAGUUAAUUAACCUGUCCCUAUUUUUUAACCCAACCUGUCAUCUUCUCAAGAAGCAGAGAUAUAAAAGUAGCAUUAUUUUAAACUCUCCUUUCUUAAACAUUAUAAUAGAUAAUAGAAGGUUGAAUGAAAGGUUUUUGAAGUUCAUGGAUCCUGAAGAUAGUGACAUAAGUGAUGUAGUCAUUUGUGCUUAGGAGAGGGAAUGCCUGCUAGUUUAUAUUUUGUGAGAAAUUAUGUACGUGUGUAUGUGGUCUUAGUAUGAAGGAAUUGACUUACCAUUUGAAAUCAUGCUUUAUAUUCAUUUUGAAUACCUUUUCAGUUUUUUGAUAUCUGGUAAUACUUUGCUCUGUGUUAGUUGAAUUAUAUGAAAGUGUUACUGUUGAUCAAAAAUAGUUCAGUUUGUCCAUUCAAAUCCCACAGGUAUAGGGUGAGCAACACCCUGACCUGAUAGGUUUCAUAAUGCUAGAUGAAAUGUCAGAUUUCUUUUUCUGAAACGAGUACUUAGUUAUAAAAUAUCUGCUUAGAACAGUACUCCCUCCAGUCACUUUUCCAUUUUCUCCUUUCUUUGAAAAUGUAGUCACUGUUAGAAUAAAGCAUAUGACAUUAUUUCAUA